GCAAGUCGGUAAGCGGGCUUCGGGCACCUACGGCAACGGGGUGCCUGAGGAAGCUCACCCCCACGCGGGACCGCAGCCCCGAAAGGGGCAGGGCGAGAGCCCUGGCAACGGCUCAGAAACGAGACCCCUUCCAGCGGAUGUGGAUGAGGCGGCUGAGGCGUAUGCCGAGAAGGCGCCUAGCAAUAGGCGCCGAGCUGACCCGUCGACGAUGCUGGGAGAAUGGUUGCAACGGCCGACCUGCGGGGGUAAGGCCAAAUAGGAGCCUAUGAGGCCCGCGCGAGGCUCGGGUAGGCCGCAUAGCUGAAUCCCGCAAAACAAAAGGUGAGCUAUACCGACAUGC
Molecule: RNase P RNA, 340 nt
Rfam family: Archaeal RNase P
About the family: Ribonuclease P (RNase P) is a ubiquitous endoribonuclease, found in archaea, bacteria and eukarya as well as chloroplasts and mitochondria. Its best characterised activity is the generation of mature 5'-ends of tRNAs by cleaving the 5'-leader elements of precursor-tRNAs. Cellular RNase Ps are ribonucleoproteins.